GACGAACGCUGGCGGCGUGCUUAACACAUGCAAGUCGAACGCUGAAGCUCAGCUUUUGUUGGGUGGAUGAGUGGCGAACGGGUGAGUAACACGUGAGUAACCUGCCCCUUCUUUGGGAUAACGCCCGGAAACGGGUGCUAAUACUGGAUAUUCACUUGUCUUCGCAUUGGGGGUGGUGGAAAGGGGUUUUCUGGUGGGGGAUGGGCUCGCGGCCUAUCAGCUUGUUGGUGGGGUGAUGGCCUACCAAGGCUUUGACGGGUAGCCGGCCUGAGAGGGUGACCGGUCACAUUGGGACUGAGAUACGGCCCAGACUCCUACGGGAGGCAGCAGUGGGGAAUAUUGCACAAUGGGCGCAAGCCUGAUGCAGCGACGCCGCGUGAGGGAUGGAGGCCUUCGGGUUGUGAACCUCUUUCGCUCAUGGUCAAGCCGCAACAAUGGUUGUGGUGAGGGUAGUGGGUAAAGAAGCGCCGGCUAACUACGUG
This 482-nucleotide ribosomal RNA is filed under the name uncultured bacterium. RNAcentral describes it as "partial 16S ribosomal RNA". It matches the Rfam family "Bacterial small subunit ribosomal RNA", at positions 28 to 507 of the family's 1533-position model. The record is from RNAcentral.